Molecule: long non-coding RNA, 666 nt
Organism: Sebastes umbrosus (honeycomb rockfish)
Lineage: Eukaryota; Metazoa; Chordata; Actinopteri; Perciformes; Sebastidae
Exons: 2
Source: RefSeq, a predicted model, not a curated record
ACUGGUCCUUGUCCAAGAAAUAGUCUGGUACAUAACCUCCAGUAAAAUGGCAAAUCACCGUUGUACAGAUUAAACAAACAAGAUAUAACAUGUUAAGUACCGAGCUUUAGGGGUGCUGUUUCCAGUCGAAAGGACGGGCCGGUCCGGGGCCUCCGCAGACACCUCUUGAUCCUCGGGGGCAUCUACAGGAGAGUCUGUAUGAUGUGGGGAGGAGCGGACGUCUGCUCCUCCUGACCUAACAGGUGAAGACAGAAAGCGGUCCUGUGAAGCCGACGCUGCGUUGGGCAGAGUGGCAACGCUGCCAGCCAGAGACGUUGGAUAUAAAUAUCCACCUCACAUCACGGCAGUUUCCUCCAAAAACAAACACUUCAGAUUCUACCUUGUAAUUUAUCACUUCUCUCUCUCUCUCCCCCGCGGAGGGAAAAUCACAGGAGGGGAAAUGUUGAGUUGAAAGAUUGCGGUGUUGUUUUUAAUCUCCAUGUUUCAUUUUGUCUCUUCGUGUUGCCUAUUCAUAUUUAUUGAGCCCCAUCGGGCUUCACUAGCAUCAUAAAUAUCACCGCUGUAUUAAAGAAACUUCAAACUCAACAAGGUCUGACAAGGAAAAUACCUCACACUACUAACAGUUAGUGUAGUUAGCUUUGAAUAUAAAUACUGUAUGCCACACAA